Molecule: ribosomal RNA, 712 nt
Filed under: Leptogium hirsutum
Lineage: Eukaryota; Fungi; Ascomycota; Lecanoromycetes; Peltigerales; Collemataceae
Description: SSU rRNA
Rfam family: Bacterial small subunit ribosomal RNA
Source: RNAcentral
UGUAUAGCUAAAGCUAACUGUGUUUUGUAAAAAAUAUAGAUUCGAUUUAUUCGUAUAAAGUUCAAGGUAGAGUUUAUGAUAAUGACAUUUUCUAUCUAUAGUCUUGACCAACAUGCGUGCCAGCGGUCGCGGCAAGACGCUAAAGACAAGUGUUAUUCAUCUUUAAUAGGUUUAAAGCGUACCUAGACGGUAAAUCAAGCCUUAAUCGGGACUAAUUUAACUAGAGUUAGAUGUAAGGGUGCAUUAACGUACUGUUGAGUGUAGAGAUGAAAUUCUGUCAUACCAGAUGAUUGGCACGGGUUUAGGCGAAAGCAUCACCUUAUGUAAUAACUGACGUUGAAGGACGAAGGCUUUGUAUCGCGAACAGGAUUAGAUACCCCAGUAGUCUAAGCAGAAAAUGAUGAGUGUCAUAGGUUAAAUAUUAUUUAGUCUAUAAAUGAAAGUGUAAGCAUUCCACCUCAUGAGUAAUUUGGCAACAUUGGAAUUGAAAUCAUUAGACCGUUUCUGAAACCAGUAGUGAAGUAUGUUGUUUAAUUAGAUGAUACACAAAGAACCUUACCACAAUUUGAAUAUUUUUAUUUUACAAGCGUUGCACGGCUGUCUACAGUUAAUGUCGUGAGAUUCUGGUUAGUUCCAUUUAAUUAACGUAAACCCUUACUUUAUUUUAUUUAUAUAAAGUUGUUCGCCGCUAGAUUGGUAUUGAUAAAAGGGG